Molecule: long non-coding RNA, 4766 nt
Organism: Camelus dromedarius (Arabian camel)
Lineage: Eukaryota; Metazoa; Chordata; Mammalia; Artiodactyla; Camelidae
Exons: 4
Source: RefSeq, a predicted model, not a curated record
GGGGGCAGGAGGCUGGGUGGAGGCUGCUGUCACAGUCCAGCUGGGAAACAGCGGGUGUGUGGGGCGCCCGGCUCAGGGCAGACAGGGUGAAGGGUCCACACCACAGGCUUUGGCUCCCAGGGCGUGCGCAGCACCUUGAAUCCCCAGGCUCAGCACAUCCAUCCUCCUCGGGAGAUGAGGGGCAGCUCCCAAAACAACCAGAGGGGGCUGGUUAUUGUGCCGCGCUGGGGAUCCAGAAGAUGUGGUUUCAUAACUCAGACACACUGCGUGGUGUCUGAAAGUCAUUUCAUUAAAUGUCGAGUGGAAUCAAAAUAGAAAUUACAUCUUUGGGACAAAGCCCGUUGAGCCAGGAGCCAGGCAUUCUGAAUUGGAACCAGAAUAGUCUUCUGGAAGCUGAAACUGUGGAUCCAAGGCAGCCUUGUCUACACAGCCAUCUUCUCUCCUCUGGCUCACAUCUAAUCCCCAGACUUGGCAGGUGGUCCUGGAGCCCAGUCUGCUUGCAGGAGUCAGAGACAGUGGAAGGGAAAUGGUGACAACAGCUCACCGCGGCUCACACUCCUAGCAGGUGCGUGAGAAGGACCCUUUUCUGGAGUCAUGGAGCCCCUCCCCUGCCCCAGGUCAUCAAUUUUCCUUUGAGGACCAUUUUAACUGAAUCCCAUAGGAUCUGGUUUCUACCAUGUUGAAGUUUGAAUGGACAUAUGUUUUCAUUCCUCCUGGGCAAAUAACUCAGAUGCAGGAUGAUGGCUGGUGAUGCAGUAAGUGUGUGUGUUUCACUUUUAAGAAACUGCAAAACUGUUUUCCAAAGUGACUGUCCCUUUUCCAUGCCCAUGAGCCCAUGAGAGCAACGUGAGAGUGCUAGUUGCUUCUGUAGCGGCCGGUCUUUUUAAUUUUAUCCAUCCAAAGUGGGGGUCAGGUGUAUCCCCCUACAUUUCCCUAAUGGGUGAUGACCUUGCACAUCUUUGCUAAUUGUCUAUUCAAAUCCCUUGUCUUAUUAAGUUGUAAGGGUUCCUUCUAUGUUCUAGAUACAAGCCCUUUGUUAGAUGUAUGAUUUGUGAAUAUUUCUCCAGUCUGUGCCUUCCCUUUCUAUUUUCUUCACAGUAUCUUGAAAAAUCAAAGGUUUUUUAAUUUUGGUGAAGUUGAACUUUUUUUUUUUUAUAGUUUGUGUUUUUGUAUCUUGUAUAAGAAAUUCUCUCCGACUCUAAGAUACAAGGAUUUUCUCCUGUGUUUUCUUCUAGAAGCUUGGUGGUUUUAGCUCUUAUCUUUGGGCCCAUGAUCUAUUUUUUAGUUAAUUUUUGUUUGUGAUGUAAGGCAAGGGGCUUGGGUUUGGUUUUUUUUUUGGCAAAUGGUCGUCUUUGAGGUGGUUUCUAAAGGGAGAGAUGGGAUACACUGGCUCUUUUGCUGUGUCCAAGCCGCCAGGCCCUUUGCACUGGGGUUUCUUUAAUGGGCAAGCUUACAUUCUCCAACGGGGUGGAGUCUUGUGAAAAUGGGAAGUUAAAUUACAGAGAAAGAAAUAAGCUAAAUAUCUGGCUUAUCUGAGUGUCGUAUGUUAAAUUGCAACCUGGCCACGUGAGACUUCCUGGGCUGGGUUUUCUUCUCUCUUUGUUCUGCAGAUGGAAGGAACUCAGUCCCUCCGUACAGCCAGCCGGUCAGCUACGAGUCAGCCCGGAGGAGUGAAGCAGACGCGGGCUGGAAUCAGAUGGACUGGAUGUGUCCCCAGCCCAGACCCUUCCUGUCCGGCCUUGCUUUCCUCCAUAAAGCGAGGGUGGAGCAAAAUAUCUGGUUUCCCACCCAACACUGCUGUCGGGUUCUAGAGUUUUCCUCCACUUUUUCUGAUCCUCUCCCCUCUUCUGGUUUUUUUUUUUUUUUUUUCCCCUCCUCUCUUCUAUUUCAGGCCAAAGUGUUUUUGCCUUGAAAGCUCUGAUUUUCAUUUGACGGGCAGCCACCCCAGAGCCAUGGGCCACGAGCCAUCGGGCCUGCCUUGAGUGACACCUGUCCUCUUUUUCCCAGUCUCUCCAGCACAUGAGAUUUCCUCUAGGACACUGCAAAGAUUUUUUCCGGAGCUGGAGUUCCCCAGUUGCUGAGCCAGAGUUACUUGACCCCCACUGUGUCCCCAGAGAGGUGUAAUUAUGCCAUCAAAUUCUCAUUGGCUCUGCUUCAAGGAUAAGGAGGCUGCUGCCCAGAGAGGUUGUUCAACUUGUACAAAGUCACACAGGUCAUCUUCCAAACCAGAUCGUCUGACUCCAAAGUCCCCACCCCACACCGUUCUCCAAGGACUUGGCUCCUCUGGCCAGGGUCUGCCUGAGCCUGUGGGAAGAGCCCUGAAGGCACCCCGAGGAGCCCAUCUAGACCUUAGAAAUAGAGCUGCUCUUAAAACUAAAUUUCAAGUCAGUCUAUUAUGUAACAGAGACGUGCAUAGUCUUCUUAGAGGGCGAACAGCUCCCAGGGACACAAAGGAAGCUGAGUGAAGGCUGCGAGUAGAGAGAUGGGCAUGCUCAGCGGUGUGGCCCUUGGUGGUAGGGGGUCCAGCCGUGUUUUUUCUGGGAUCAGGCACAUCUGAGUCGUCUGGAGGGCUGGGGGACACCCCCCUAAGUCUUUUUGUCUCCUGGGAAGUGCUCACCUACAGAAAGAGAGAACAGAGGUACAACAGCCCACCAGUUCAUCCAUCCAUCCAUUCAGUGACUACUGAGCCUUGACUAUGUGUGAGGGACUGUUCUGGAGUCUGGAGUGCACUGAUAGAAUGUUGGAGGGAGGGGCUGCAAUAGAAGAGAUGUCAAAAGGGAACAGGCAGUGGUCUUGGCAGGAGGUGGAGCCUGAGCUUCAGCAGCUUGAAGGGCCAGGGAAGCACACACCAUUGCAGGCAGCAGGAGAGGAGAGCCAUGCAGGGGCCGGCUCAGGGUGCUGUGCCUGUGCCCCAGGACCCCCAGGCCCUGUGACCCUCUCCAGAGAGAGGACUGGGAAGACUCCAUCUCUGGGAGAAAGUAGUCCAGUCCUUGUCACACCUCAUUUACUCAUUGUCAUUAAAAGCAUGGCUUCUGGUUUAUACAUCAGCCAUAUAAGCCUGGCUAAUGUGAGUCUUCCCUGGAAGCUAAUCUGUGCUCUGGUUCUGGCACAAUAGUGAGCUCUCUGAGUUGGGUCAGCUGAGGAUAAAUGCUGCCUCAGGAGGCUCUUGGGGAACGACCAGCCGGUUUCAGCCACCAAAAACUUACCAAGCAAGAAGUCAUGUUUAGUUGAAGCACAAAGAUCGUGAAGCCUAGUGGUGAGAAGCCAGAUGAAUUCCUAUCACCCCAGGCUUUCCCACCAGGUUUUCCCCAGCUUUGGCAGCCUAAGCCAAGACUGGGGUCAUGCAUGAUGUGAACUGGGAAGAGAUCCAUGUUAUCUCUGCUGUUGUCUGAAAAAGAGUGUGGCUGGGGGCUGGUCCACUCCUUCCUGGAGUAGGAGGCAGUAGGUGUUGGCCCUGCCCUGGACUCACCUGUCUACCUGCUGUCUUCGGGUUUCCUUACUCCAGAGGGUGGUCACUGCAGGCCGGAUUCCCAUAAACUUCAUAUAUUUGAUUCUCAGUCUGCUCUGAAAUGAGAUUCUGGGAUCCAUUGUUUUUGGAGGUUUUGACAGAAUGCACAAGGAGCCAGAUAAAAUUGAAAUAAAAUUGCAAUCACUGAGUUAAUGACUGUGACAAUAAAAAUAAUUCAGAACCAAAUUAAUGCAACAUUAGGGCUCAUCAUUAUACUAAUAAUCUUCACACAGCAAUACAAAAACAACAAUUGUUUGGGGAGGAAUGAUUCAUUCCAUGGGAGAACAGAGUUUUGGGAAAAUCUCAGAAUUUCCUUCUGCAGUCUGAAGAAGGAGAAAGACAAGCUAAGGUUUCCUACUUACUGUGACAAAGAGAUACUCCCUGUGCUUAGGGGGCACCCAGCUCACCAGGCGGGGACAGCCUUAAAUGACUGUAAAGUGAAGUGGCCUUGGGAGGAAGAGGGCCAUAGGGAAGGCUUCCUGGAGGCAGCAGCAUUGAGCAGAGCCUGGAAAGAGGAGUAGCAUCCAUUGGGUCUCAACCCCUCCAUGCCUCCCUCUCCUUUGCAUCCAGCUGCAAUCUGGCUUUUGUCCCUUCCUCACCUCCUAAAUGCUCUUAUCAAGUGACCUUCACAUUGUGAGCAGAUCCAGACACGGGCCCUAGGUCCUCAUCUUCCCUGACUCCCAGCAAGCUUCCACGGCCUCUGGGUUCCCACCAGCAUCACUGAACCCCUUCUCUGUCUCCUCUGCUGGCUCUGCUUCCCUUCUGACCUCUGAACACCUGCAGGCUCCAGGCUGAGCCGUCCCUUCACUCCUCCCUGUCUCCCAGCUCCCUGUCCAUCGCAUCCUGGACACUCACUGUCCACUCUUGACCCUUCUGACCGCCACCCUCAGGCUUCUCAAUGUCUGUGCAACGCCUCCCUGCGGUGUCUAAUACACGUUUUUAAAACCAGAUUUCAUAAUACAGAAAAAUGCACACCUCCUAAGAGCCUAGCUCGAUGCCAUUCCACAAAGUGAAUACACUGGGGCAUCAGCUCCCGGAUCAAGAAAGAGAACGUUGCAGCUAAAGGGAGCCCCUCCUGGCCCCUGUGGCCUCACCACGCCGGCGUGGCCGUGGCCUGACUCUGUCACCUGAGAUAUUCUCCCCUGGCUUGGACUGAACAUGAAUGGAAUCAUAGGAAACCUGCUCUGGUGUCUGGCUUCUUCAGCUCCGUGUCGUGUUUGUGGGACUUGUAGCUGUAGUCCAUCCUUUUUGUUGCUGU